AGUGAACGCUGGCGGUAGGCCUAACACAUGCAAGUCGAACGGCAGCACAGUAAGAGCUUGCUCUUACGGGUGGCGAGUGGCGGACGGGUGAGGAAUACAUCGGAAUCUACUUUUUCGUGGGGGAUAACGUAGGGAAACUUACGCUAAUACCGCAUAUGACCUACGGGUGAAAGCAGGGGAUCUUCGGACCUUGCGCGAUUGAAUGAGCCGAUGUCGGAUUAGCUAGUUGGCGGGGUAAAGGCCCACCAAGGCGACGAUCCGUAGCUGGUCUGAGAGGAUGAUCAGCCACACUGGAACUGAGACACGGUCCAGACUCCUACGGGAGGCAGCAGUGGAGAAUAUUGGACGAUGGGCGCAAGCCUGAUCCAGCCAUACCGCGUGGGUGAAGAAGGCCUUCGGGUUGUAAAGCCCUUUUGUUGGGAAAGAAAAGCAGCAGGUUAAUACCCCGCUGUUCUGACGGUACCCGAAGAAUAAGCACCGGCUAACUUCGUG
This 492-nucleotide ribosomal RNA is filed under the name uncultured bacterium. RNAcentral describes it as "partial 16S ribosomal RNA". It matches the Rfam family "Bacterial small subunit ribosomal RNA", at positions 29 to 507 of the family's 1533-position model. The record is from RNAcentral.